Molecule: non-coding RNA, 153 nt
Filed under: Paraburkholderia terricola
Lineage: Bacteria; Pseudomonadati; Pseudomonadota; Betaproteobacteria; Burkholderiales; Burkholderiaceae
Description: Glycine sequence
Rfam family: Glycine riboswitch aptamer
About the family: This family represents the bacterial glycine riboswitch. Glycine riboswitches usually consist of two metabolite-binding aptamers domains with similar structures in tandem.
Source: RNAcentral
UUUUCGCACUCUGGAGAGCGGCAGUAGCCGUCUGCAUCGUCUAAAGCGUGCAGGUUCGGCAAGCUGCCCACCGAAGGGGCGCGCGUUCACCGUGAUCCGGCAAGCCGGCCGCGGCAGCGCAAUCUCUCAGGUAUCGAGGACAGAGGGGUCAUG